AUUGAACGCUAGCGGAAUGCUUUACACAUGCAAGUCGAACGGCAGCACGGGGCAACCUGGUGGCGAGUGGCGAACGGGUGAGUAAUACAUCGGAACGUGCCCAAUCGUGGGGGGAUAACGUAGCGAAAGUUACGCUAAUACCGCAUACGAUCUACGGAUGAAAGCGGGGGAUCGCAAGACCUCGCGCGAUUGGAGCGGCCGAUGUCAGAUUAGGUAGUUGGUGGGGUAAAGGCUCACCAAGCCGACGAUCUGUAGCUGGUCUGAGAGGACGACCAGCCACACUGGGACUGAGACACGGCCCAGACUCCUACGGGAGGCAGCAGUGGGGAAUUUUGGGACAAUGGGCGCAAGCCUGAUCCAGCCAUUCCGCGUGCAGGAUGAAGGCCUCGGUU
This 392-nucleotide ribosomal RNA is filed under the name uncultured bacterium. Its description in RNAcentral is "bacterial SSU rRNA". It matches the Rfam family "Bacterial small subunit ribosomal RNA", at positions 30 to 424 of the family's 1533-position model. The record is from RNAcentral.